Molecule: ribosomal RNA, 467 nt
Filed under: uncultured bacterium
Lineage: Bacteria
Description: partial 16S ribosomal RNA
Rfam family: Bacterial small subunit ribosomal RNA
Source: RNAcentral
GACGAACGCUGGCGGCGUGCUUAACACAUGCAAGUCGAACGGAAAGGCCCUGCUUUUGUGGGGUGCUCGAGUGGCGAACGGGUGAGUAACACGUGAGUAACCUGCCCUUGACUUUGGGAUAACUUCAGGAAACUGGGGCUAAUACCGGAUAGGAGCUCCUGCUGCAUGGUGGGGGUGGGAAAGUUUCGGCGGCUGGGGAUGGACGCGCGGCUUAUCAGCUUGUUGGUGGGGUAGUGGCUUACCAAGGCUUUGACGGGUAGCCGGCCUGAGAGGGUGACCGGCUCCAUUGGCCUACGGAAGGCGCCCGUGCGCCUUCGGGGGCAAGGGGCGGGAAAUUUUGCCAAACGGGCGGCAUCCGUGUAGAGGACCGCCGGGUGGGGAAGCCCGGCUUUUGGGUUGGAAACCCUUUUGGCUUGUACCGAGCUGUUCUGACGGUUAAUGGAGAAAAAGCCCCGGCUAACUUCGGG